RNAcentral lists this ribosomal RNA (497 nucleotides) under uncultured bacterium. RNAcentral describes it as "partial 16S ribosomal RNA". It matches the Rfam family "Bacterial small subunit ribosomal RNA", at positions 28 to 507 of the family's 1533-position model. The record is from RNAcentral.
GACGAACGCUGGCGGCGUGCCUAAUACAUGCAAGUUGAGCGCUGAAGGUUGGUACUUGUACCAACUGGAUGAGCAGCGAACGGGUGAGUAACGCGUGGGGAAUCUGCCUUUGAGCGGGGGACAGCAUUUGGAAACGAAUGCUAAUACCGCAUAAAAACUUUAAACACAAGUUUUAAGUUUGAAAGAUGCAAUUGCAUCACUCAAAGAUGAUCCCGCGUUGUAUUAGCUAGUUGGUGAGGUAAAGGCUCACCAAGGCGAUGAUACAUAGCCGACCUGAGAGGGUGAUCGGCCACAUUGGGACUGAGACACGGCCCAAACUCCUACGGGAGGCAGCAGUAGGGAAUCUUCGGCAAUGGGCGAAAGUCUGACCGAGCAACGCCGCGUGAGUGAAGAAGGUUUUCGGAUCGUAAAGCUCUGUUGGUAGAGAAGAACGUUUGUGAGAGUGGAAAGCUCAUCCAGUGACGGUAACUACCCAGAAAGGGACGGCUAACUACGUG